This is a long non-coding RNA of Ctenopharyngodon idella (grass carp), 2719 nucleotides long. RefSeq lists it as uncharacterized. NCBI's taxonomy places the organism in Eukaryota, Metazoa, Chordata, Actinopteri, Cypriniformes, Xenocyprididae. The record is from RefSeq and is a predicted model, not a curated record. The transcript is spliced from 3 exons.
AAGAUUAGCCCCUACCAGGAGUGGGGUUUGAACCCACGAGGACAUUCAUCCAUUGGAUCUUAAGUCCAACGCCUUAACCACUCGGCCAUCCUGGUUGCACAAAUUUAACAACAACAACAAUUAGUCUAAGGUUCAAUAAACUGUUCAAUUAAAAAAAAAAACAACAACAUAUUUUUCUGACAAUUUUUUACGUUUACAGGGUUAGCCACUCGGCCAUCCUGGUGCUUUGUCCAUUCUGCUCUACCCCAUUCAGAUGAGUGGAAAAGCCUUUAUUUAUAUGUAAGGCUGCUGAGUUCAUUCUCUCCACUGGCAGAAAAGGCUCUUUUGGUUGAAACACUAAUUGGCAUGUGCAACUGUGGUUUUAUGAAUGGGAGUUCUGGAUUCUCCUCAUGGGAUUUCAUAAAUCUACUCCCAUGUAGAUGUAUUGAUCGCUGUGUGUUAGUCUGUCUCUAUUCCUCUGUCACUCUCCUCUUGCUCACAUCCCUGCCUGGCAGCAUAAAUGAUGUCCACGGCCUGCGUCUCUCUCCCGCCGUGUUACCAUAGCAACUGGAGCGAUAGGGGAACACUGUGUUCCUUCGAUCUGCAAGUGGGUCAUGGACAAAACGACACGUACCAAACCAUAUUGAGUGGCUGGUGCUCCACACGGCUUUGCUGUUGACCUAUAUCACACGUCCAAACAGGAAUCCCCAUCGGCUGCUAGGCUGAGAUGUCGGGUUUAGCUCUCAGAUGCAAGCGCACAGCAUGACAGCAAUUCGGAUGACAGUAUGCAGCGGGUUUAAGAAGGACACACCCCAUGAGAGCUACUAUUUCAUUAUGAUCUCAGUGUGGUCAGUCUGGUACGGACUAAACUACUACAUCAUACUUGGAUGCUGUCUUCAUGUUUUACAACUUAGAAGUUCAACAAAGUAAUGGACACCAUCCCAAUUCAAGGAAAACAGUGUCUUUGUUGCUCUGCAAGGCGUUUCAUGCUGUGGCCUGGCACUGGUUUCCCCAUAAUCUGUAGUCAAGGACAAAAUGAGAAACCCAUCUCUGCGCCCAGAGGCCAGUGCCAUACAGGAAACACAUCAGCAGCACGCCACAGUGGGUUCCUGGCACAAUGAUGUCUGUCAUCCACUGCAGUGUUUGAAUGAGACUGGAAGACUGUGACAUACAAUCUGAGCGCUAUGAAGACAAGGUUGUGCAAAAUUCUGAAUAUAAGAAUUUGCUUUCAGGCAAUGAGUGUGAAGUUAAAUUGAACUGGCCACAGAAGGAGGAAUUAAUUAAAUUGCAAUUCAAAGAAAUUCAAGUUAAUGCGUUCUGGGAAAUUAAGUAUUCUUCUUCCUCCCUGGUCCACAAAAGUAUAUAUUUAUGUAUUAUAUUUUGAUUAUAUUUGUAUAUAUUUAUUAUAUAUUUUCAUCAAUAUUAUAUACAACCUGAAUUCCGGAAAUGUUGGGAUGUUUUUUAAAUUUGAAAAAAAAAAAAAGAAAACUAAAAGACUUUCAAAUCACAUGAGCCAAUAUUUUAUUCACAAUAGAACAUAAAUAAUAUAACAAAUGUUUAAACUGAGAAAUUUUACAAUUUUAUGCACAAAAUGAGCUCAUUUCAAAUUUGAUGCCUGCUACAGGUCUCAAAAUAGUUGGGACGGGGGCAUGUUUACCAUGGUGUAGCAUCUCCUCUUCUUUUCAAAACAGUUUGAAGACAUCUGGGCAUCGAGGUUAUGAGUUUCUGGAGUUUUGGUGUUGGAAUUUGGUCCCAUUCUUGCCUGAUAUAGGUUUCCAGCUACUGAAGAGUUUGUGGUCGUCUUUGUGACGUAUUUUUCGUUUAAUGAUGCGCCAAAUGUUCUCUAUAGGUGCAGGCAGGCCAAUUCAGCACCUGGACUCUUCUGCGAUGAAGCCAUGCUGUUGUAGUAGCUGCAGUAUGUGGUUUCGCAUUGUCCUGCUGAAAUACACAAGGCCUUUCCUGAAAUAGACGUCAUCUGGAGGGGAGCACAUGUUGCUCUAAAACCUUUAUAUACCUUUCAGCAUUCAUAGUGCUUUUCAAAACAUGCAAGCUGCCUAUACCAUAUGCACUGAUGCACCCCCAUACCAUCAGAGAUGCUGGCUUUUGAACUGAACGCUGAUGACACGCUGGAAGGUCUCCCUCCUCUUUAGCCCGGAGGACAUGGUGUCCAUGAUUUCCAACAAGAAUGUCAAAUUUGGACUCGUCUGACCAUAGAACACUUUUCCAUUUUAAAUGAGCCUGGGUCCACAGGACACGACAGCGCUUCUGGACCAUGUUCACAUAUGGCUUCCUUUUUGCAUGACAGAGCUUUAGUUGGCAUCUGCAGAUGGCACGGCGGAUUGUGUUUACCGACAGUGGUUUCUGGAAGUAUUCCUGGGCCCAUUUAGUAAUGUCAUUGACACAAUCAUGCCGAUGAGUGAUGCAGUGUCGUCUGAGGGCCCGAAGACCACAGGAAUCCAAAUAAAGGUCUUCAGCCUUGUCCCUUACGCACAGAGAUUUCUCCAGUUUCUCUGAAUUUUUCGAUGAUGUUAUGCAUUGUAGAUGAUGAGAUUUGCAAAGCCUUUGCAAUUUGACGUUGAGGAACAUUGUUUUUAAAGUAUUCCACAAUCUUUUUACGCACUCUUUCACAGCUCUGCCCAUUUUUACUUCUGAGAGACUCUGCCUCUCUAAGACAUCCCUUUCAUAGCUAAUCAUGUUACAGACCUGAUGUCAAUUAACUUAAUUAGUUGCUAGAUGUUCU